AGGACGAACGCUGGCGGCGUGCUUAACACAUGCAAGUCGAGCGGAAAGGCCCUUCGGGGUACUCGAGCGGCGAACGGGUGAGUAACACGUGAGUAAUCUGCCCCUAGCUCUGGGAUAGCUCCGGGAAACCGGGAUUAAUACCGGAUAUGACCACUUUAGACAUCUGCUGUGGUGGAAAGAAUUUCGGCUAGGGAUGAGCUCGCGGCCUAUCAGCUUGUUGGUGGGGUAACGGCCUACCAAGGCGACGACGGGUA
This 254-nucleotide ribosomal RNA is filed under the name uncultured bacterium. RNAcentral's name for it is "partial small subunit ribosomal RNA". It matches the Rfam family "Bacterial small subunit ribosomal RNA", at positions 26 to 285 of the family's 1533-position model. The record is from RNAcentral.